ACCUGACCCCAUGCCGAACUCAGAAGUGAAACGCCGUAGCGCCGAUGGUAGUGUGGGGUCUCCCCAUGCGAGAGUAGGGAACUGCCAGACA
Molecule: ribosomal RNA, 91 nt
Filed under: Escherichia coli
Lineage: Bacteria; Pseudomonadati; Pseudomonadota; Gammaproteobacteria; Enterobacterales; Enterobacteriaceae
Also listed under: 1 other name
Source: RNAcentral